This 234-nucleotide long non-coding RNA is filed under the name Brachypodium distachyon (stiff brome). RNAcentral describes it as "long non-coding RNA (BDIS_LNC004531)". Lineage: Eukaryota; Viridiplantae; Streptophyta; Magnoliopsida; Poales; Poaceae. The record is from RNAcentral.
GCUCAUCGCAGGAUUUUGCAACAUGAAUAUCAUUACCAAACUCUACAGAAGAGAGUAAUUACAAAGCUCAUACAAGGAGCAGAAUAACAAAUAUUACAAAGAGAGGACACAUGUCCCAACAUUACAUCAUUACAUCAGCGGAAGUCGAAUUAUGACCGAGUACGGACAAGAUUACAGCAUGGCCUGAAGAGGCUGGAAGCUGGAAGGAACCCCGCCACGAGUCUCAGAACCCUG